Molecule: ribosomal RNA, 420 nt
Filed under: Triticum aestivum (bread wheat)
Lineage: Eukaryota; Viridiplantae; Streptophyta; Magnoliopsida; Poales; Poaceae
Description: partial small subunit ribosomal RNA
Source: RNAcentral
AUGAAUGAACCUAUGAGGUGUAGUUCUUCUCGCUAUUUUCAUUUCGAGUGUAAUAAUCUGCUGGAGGUAUUUUCCAUUCAGACUAGUGAAGUUUUGCAUCCUGCAAGUGUGCAUAUGUAUUCUGGAAGAAAAAGAAAAGCAUACCCAAUGGCCGAUGUCGGAGUAGAAGCAUCAGUGCGCACCACCACUAGCUCUUCCUCGACCCUCCUUGCGACAGCCUUCCGCUGCGGCCACUGCCUCCUCCUGGACCGCGCUUCAGCAACAUGCAGCACCUUCAUUGCCCGUGCUUCAUCUGACACACUGGAGGGUUUGCACCAAGCCUCCAUCACUGUCCCUGACUGCCUAUCUAUAUGUGUUUUCUCUCACUCGAUGUAUUUGUAUCAUAUGAAAUCGAAAUGCAAUGGACUGAUGUAUUGGUAA